AAACAUGUCUUUUUGAGGUAUAUAUAAAGUCUAGCCUGCCCACUGAAUAGACUUAAAUGGCCGCAGUAUUUUGACUGUGCAAAGGUAGCAUAAUCAUUAGUCUUUUAAUUGAAGGCUGGAAUGAAUGGUUGGACGAAGUAUAAGCUGUUUCAUAUAAAUUUAUUAUAGAAUUUUAUAUUUUAGUUAAAAAGCUAAAAUUUUAUUAAAAGACGAGAAGACCCUAUAAAUCUUUUAUAUUUGGUGUUAUUUAAAUUUUUUAGAUUAUUUAGAUUUUUAUAAUAUUAAAUAUUUUGUUGGGGUGAUAUUAAAAUUUAAUAAACUUUUAAUUAUUAAAAAUCAUUAAUUUAUGAUUGAUUGAUCCAUUAGUAUUGAUUAUAAGAUUAAGUUACUUUAGGGAUAACAGCGUAAUUUUUUUUGAGAGUUCCUAUCGACAAAAAAGUUUGCGACCUCGAUGUUGGAUUAAGGUAUAAUUUUAGGUGUAGCUGCUUAAACAUUAAGUCUGUUCGACUUUUAAACCCUUACAUGAUC
Molecule: ribosomal RNA, 528 nt
Filed under: Anastrepha panamensis
Lineage: Eukaryota; Metazoa; Arthropoda; Insecta; Diptera; Tephritidae
Description: partial small subunit ribosomal RNA
Rfam family: Bacterial large subunit ribosomal RNA
Source: RNAcentral